GCAUCAGUGGUCCAACGGUAGGAUAAUUGCCUUCCAUCACGUUCAGCAAUUGGUUCGGGUUCGACUCCCGGCUGAUGCA
Bimuria novae-zelandiae CBS 107.79 is the source of this 79-nucleotide non-coding RNA. Lineage: Eukaryota; Fungi; Ascomycota; Dothideomycetes; Pleosporales; Didymosphaeriaceae. The record is from the annotation of a GenBank genome assembly.